CCCUUAGAUGCCCUGGGCCGCACGCGCGUUACACUGAUGCAUUCAACGAGCUUAUAACCUUGGCCGAGAGGCCUGGGCAAUCUUGUUAACGUGCAUCGUGAUAGGGAUAGAUUAUUGAAAUUAUUAAUCUUGAACGAGGAAUUCCUAGUAAACGCAGAUCAUCAAUCUGCAUUGAUUACGUCCCUGCCCUUUGUACACACCGCCCGGCGCACCUACCGAUUGGAUGGUCCGGUGAAGCCUCGGGAUUGUGGUUCUUGCCGCUUUAUUGUGGCGUGACCGCGAGAACUUGUCUAAACCUUAUCAUCUAGAGGAAGGUGAAGUCGUAACA
RNAcentral lists this ribosomal RNA (328 nucleotides) under uncultured eukaryote. Its description in RNAcentral is "partial 18S ribosomal RNA". It matches the Rfam family "Eukaryotic small subunit ribosomal RNA", at positions 1470 to 1796 of the family's 1831-position model. The record is from RNAcentral.